AUGAAUGUUUCUGAUGAAAUUCUAAAGAAAUGUCAAGGGGUUCCACUAGCCAUACUGACUGUAGCCAGCCUUUUGGCUAAUCAUAAGGAGGUAAAUUCAAAGGAUUUCUGGGAAAUGAUACAAAACUAUUUAAGUUUACAGUUGGAAGGAAACCCUGCUUUUCAAUGGAUGAGACAUGUCCUUAAUCUUGGAUACAGUUAUUUAUCUCUGGAUCUCAAGACCUGCAUGCUAUAUCUUGGUAUAUUUCCUGAAGAUUCUGAAAUAAGAAAGGAUGAUUUGGUUAAGAGAUGGGUCGCCGAGGGUUUUGUUGGCCUAGAGGAGAUGGCAGAAAGUUAUUUUAGUGAGCUCAUCAAUAAAAACAUGAUCCAAAUAGCCAGGUUUGAUGACUGUGGGAAUGUGCUGUCUUGUCGAGUGCAUGAUCUAAUGCUUGACUUUAUCAUACUGAAGUCCACAGAAGAAAACUUUAUCACUGUAAUUAAGGAAUCCCCUAUUAUUCGUGAUCCACAUACCAGGAAAUGCUCCAUGGAAGUUCGCCGACUAUCCCUCCAAGUCAGAAAUUCAGAAUGCAAUCAUGUGGUAGGGAGCAUUGCUUUAGCCCAAGUUAGGUCAUUUAACUUUUGGGGCCCUGGUCAAUGUAUGCCUUCUCUCUCGAGGUUUCAACUCGUGCGAGUUCUACAUCUUGAUGUUUAUGAUACCAAGGAAGAGCAGUAUGAUCUAUCUUCUAUAUGCAAUUUGUUCCUACUGAGAUAUUUGAGGAUUGGAGGUUUGAAGUGUGAGAAACUCCUAAAACAAUUGCAAAAAUUGAAACAUCUGAAGAUAUUGGAGAUCGUCGGUGGAGAAAAUGGUGCAUGGCUGGAUGUUCGCUACUUACCCUCAAUGUUGUGGCAUCUCAUCAUUCCUUCAGAUCUGUCUUUGUUUGGUGGGAUCGGCAGGAUGGAAGCCCUCCGUACUUUGCAUGAACUUCACAUCACAGAUUUUGGGCUCCUGGAUGAAUUCAAUCUGAGGACAAAAGUUGAUCUGAAGACAAAUCUGGAGAUCCUGAAGGAACUCGGUAAUCUGAAGAACUUGAGAGAGCUAAAGCUUCACCUGUCCGGACUCACUAACGCUUUUGAAGACUGUCUACUCCCUUCGCUCUGUAGGCUCAGCAGCCUUCAAUCCCUAACCACUAGUGGAGACCACUUAAAUGGUGAUUGCUUGGCUUAUUGGACCCCACCUCCACGCCAUCUUUAUAGAUUGCACGUGCUGAACUGCCCCUUCUCCAUGGUCCCAGAUUGGAUUGUGCGACUUGAAAAUCUCAAAAGCUUGGAGAUGCAACUUGUGUCACUGCCGAGGGUUGGUGUUGAGGUUCUCUCCAGUCUGACCUCACUGGUGCACCUUACAUUGCGUGUUAGGGAUCAUGCUCCCGAAGAAGACGUCGUCGUUAUCCGUGGUUCAACGUUCCCAAACCUCAAGAAUCUUGUCUUCACAUAUGAAGUGCCUUGCCUGGUGUUCGAGGCAGGGGCUAUGCCAAGGCUCGAGGACCUCACUAUAGAGUGUUGCGCAGAAGCUGUGCAGCAUGCCGAUGGUGUUCUUGAUGGCAUCGAGCACCUGGGAAGUCUCAAGGCAUGCAAGGUGAACAUUUACAAGCGGGCCGGGCUCUUUAGGCAAAGUUGUUUUCAUAUGAUGGUAUGCAGUUCAUGUGGAAUGGAAGAAAAGGAUCCACACAUGCAGGGGCAGAGUCUUCAGGCUGCGAUCAGGGAGGCGAUCAACAAGCACCCGGGUAAUCCCAAUAUCAGCAUUAUAACUUUUUGA
This 1791-nucleotide ribosomal RNA is filed under the name Triticum aestivum (bread wheat). RNAcentral's name for it is "partial small subunit ribosomal RNA". The record is from RNAcentral. Lineage: Eukaryota; Viridiplantae; Streptophyta; Magnoliopsida; Poales; Poaceae.